This 180-nucleotide ribosomal RNA is filed under the name uncultured Glomeromycotina. RNAcentral's name for it is "partial small subunit ribosomal RNA". The stretch from base 91 to 180 matches the Rfam family "Eukaryotic small subunit ribosomal RNA", at positions 738 to 830 of the family's 1831-position model. Lineage: Eukaryota; Fungi; Glomeromycota. The record is from RNAcentral.
GGCCUGGCUGGCCGGUCCGCCUCACCGCGUGCACUGGUCCGGCCGGGCCUUUCCUCCUGGGGAGCCGCAUGCCCUUCACUGGGUGUGUCGGGGAACCAGGACUUUUACUUUGAAAAAAUUAGAGUGUUCAAAGCAGGCCUAUGCUCGAAUACAUUAGCAUGGAAUAAUAGAAUAGGACUU